AUUGAACGCUGGCGGAAUGCUUUACACAUGCAAGUCGAACGGCAGCACGGGGGCAACCCUGGUGGCGAGUGGCGAACGGGUGAGUAAUACAUCGGAACGUGCCCAAUCGUGGGGGAUAACGUAGCGAAAGCUACGCUAAUACCGCAUACGAUCUACGGAUGAAAGCGGGGGAUCGCAAGACCUCGCGCGAAUGGAGCGGCCGAUGGCAGAUUAGGUAGUUGGUGGGGUAAAGGCUCACCAAGCCGACGAUCUGUAGCUGGUCUGAGAGGACGACCAGCCACACUGGGACUGAGACACGGCCCAGACUCCUACGGGAGGCAGCAGUGGGGAAUUUUGGACAAUGGGCGCAAGCCUGAUCCAGCCAUUCCGCGUGCAGGAUGAAGGCCUC
This 388-nucleotide ribosomal RNA is filed under the name uncultured bacterium. RNAcentral describes it as "bacterial SSU rRNA". It matches the Rfam family "Bacterial small subunit ribosomal RNA", at positions 29 to 418 of the family's 1533-position model. The record is from RNAcentral.